GGAGUCAAUGAUAUUGUCUAUAUAGAGAUGUUUAUUAAAGAUUUUCGUUGGUAUAUUAAUAAUUUUAUAUUUAAUAGGAGAGAGACUCCAUGAAGAUCAGGUUCUGGAUUAUUAAGCCGGUGCGAGGAGGUGACCAUGUUGAGAUCGGAGAUUCAUACUUUAGCUGAGAGUUAUGCUCCUGUCCUCCCUCUGGUUAUACCUUUAUUUAAGAAAACGGUACCUACAC
RNAcentral lists this long non-coding RNA (226 nucleotides) under Capsicum annuum. Its description in RNAcentral is "long non-coding RNA (CANN_LNC011522)". Lineage: Eukaryota; Viridiplantae; Streptophyta; Magnoliopsida; Solanales; Solanaceae. The record is from RNAcentral.